Molecule: long non-coding RNA, 3012 nt
Organism: Pteropus alecto (black flying fox)
Lineage: Eukaryota; Metazoa; Chordata; Mammalia; Chiroptera; Pteropodidae
Exons: 2
Source: RefSeq, a predicted model, not a curated record
UCUGUAAAAUCUGUCACUGCCUAAGUGAUACCCUGCUGCUUGAGUCCUCAUUCGUCUCCAUGGCAAUGUUCUGAAACUAUUCUGCUUGUGUGAGUAAGUUCAAGGCCCAUCAAAUUAUUUAUCAUAGCGUAGCCGGCACAUCCCACCCAUGCACAGACAUACACAUUGUGUAUGUCACAGCAGCAUUCACAAGUGCAGCCAUGGUUUGAUUUGCAUUCAUUUCAAAGCAGCAGCACGUCCUAUGAAAUGGAUAGCCCACUCAUCAGCUGACUUCAUUUACUCACCCAUUCAUUCAUUCACUUAGGCACCCAGGCUUAGUGGAGACAGAGAUCUAAAGACUGACCUCUCAUUGCCGGUUGGGGGUGGGAACAGAGAUAACUUCAUCAGAGCCCGUGGAGGGAUGGCGGACCUCCUACUUGAGGAGUGGUCAGCUGACCACCAAAGGGGAAGAGAUUUCCUAGCAAAAACGAAGCCCGGGCAAAGGCAUGGGGAUGUGGACUGAUAUCUGAGAUGGCGCAGGGAAAAUGUGAGCCAAAUGACAAGCCAACCCCACCGAGGUGAAACAAAGGUGGCAGAGUUAACGCGUGACUCCCGCUCAGGAUCGGUUAUUUUCAGUCAACAAGUGAGUACCCGCUAGAUGAUGUGAAUCAAAGGGAGGACUCGCCUACAGUGACAUUGCCGGCAAAGCUGGAGAGAGAUUUUCAAGUAGGGAGAUCUACCACUCAUCCCUCAAAUCACGGCGCAGGGGCUACGGCUAAAACUCUCAGCAAAGAGAAUGCGGCUGAAAUUUCGCCUUCAUUCCAAAAACCCAGUUCACGACGUAAAGGGAUCUUCCUCUUGGGCAGGAUUCUGCUCUCACUGCACUCGGUGGUGGGACACUCGAUGUCACAGAGCUCUGCGGUCAGUGAGUUUAAGUCCUGGCUCCACCGAUUACUCUCCGUAUAACCUCCGUAUAACACUAGUGAACCUGAGACGCGAUUCCGUCUCUCAUUAAGAACAGGGGCUCAGAACACCUGCCUCUCCGGUGUUGUGAGCCUCGAUUUAAAUGAAGUGGUCGGAAUAAACACUGGUUCCUUCUGCCCCCACCGCCCCCACCAUGUCAUUGCAGAUUUGAAUCUCCAUCAGUCAUUCUCACUGUCACCAUCAUUUAUCUCGGUGUCUUUCAACACCCAAUUCACUUGGAGAAGCCUAAUUUUCUCCGUGUUCAUGGGCUAUUAGCUGCUCUGACAACUUUAGUUGAUGAAAAGCCUCCAUUUGGGCGGCGGAGGCUCAGAGCCCGCAAGCCCGGCGGUGAGGGCUGUGCGCCGGAGCGUCCGGCAGGGGGCAGCAUCGGGCAGCGUAAGGCCGCGUCGGGGCUCCGGAGACAGACUGGGCGUCUGGCAGGGCCGCAGAGGCGGCGUUUGGAUUCCGACUCCGGCUGACAAAGGAUUCCUUUUACUCCACAUCUUCAGAUGGAAAGACAUUCUGAAGGUUGUUCAGGCCUAUGACCCAGGUGGAUGUCGGAAUCUCCCGCACAGUGUCCCGCUCCUGCCUGAAGACACCCACUCCAAGGAGGACAUUCUAUUUGCUUCGCCCUGGCCAGCUGAGAAUUACCAGACAGUGCUUUGGGGUUUAGAGCUGAGAUCUCUCUCCGGUACCAUCCACACACUGAAUCUGCCCCUGGGAACACAGAGAACCUAAGCAGUGUCGCCUGCUCCUGAAGUGUCCUGCUCCAGACUACGCAUUCUUGAUUCUUUCCGACCUACUGUCAUGUGGCAAUUUGUCACCACUCACCUCAGAGUGGGGCCUAGUUUGUCUGCUUAGUCUCAAAGCGAGACUCCUGCAUAUUUCACGGGUCUCAGUGUGCUGGGGACUCACUUGGACCUUACAAAUGAAACGCUGAAGCGCCUUUCCCAUGUGCUGUCCCUAAGCCACACCCUCCCCCACCCCUCGUCCAGUGGGCUUUGGGGUGCUCAGAACCUGUCCUCUCUGUGUAGGCGAUGCCCAACAAGUGCUCUGGGGCAGUUGGGUGACCCCAUCCCCCCUCCACCUGGGCCGCUCCUCAGUUCCCCUGGCACCACUGACCCCCCAGGGCUCAGCCACGUCCUCCUGCUGGCCCCAGCUCCGGCUGUCCACUCUGAGACUGCCAAGGGGUCACCCUGACCCAGUCGCCCUGCACCAGGCAUGCUGGCUCUUAAUUCUCAGCUUCCUUGCAAACCCCCAGGGGUUACCUGGGGAGUUCUGGACGCACCCUCAUGCAGGCCACGUAGAAGCAAGGGCCACUGUCCCAGGCCCUCCUUAUGCUGAAGAACAGCUUGCCAGCAUUUCUACCGUGCCAUCCACAGGUGGCAUCCUGUAUAGACAUCUGCAAGGGAUGCUCUUCCCAGUGACCCGAAUGUGAAGUGGCCCCUCUACUUUCCACUUCCUGUCACUGGAUCUGAGCUGUUACUACCAUCUUGCCCACCCAGCCCCGGGUCUGAGGGUGGUGGGUGGGACACUCAGCCUCUUACCCUGCUUCCUCGUCCCGUCCUGUCCCAAGCUUCUCCCAGCACCGGAUGGGUUCUUCUUCUGUCCUACAGGGCAGGUGCUUCCUCUGCUCUCUGCGCGAUGGCCUAACACACCGCUCUCUGUUCCCAUCCCCACGCUUUGCUCCCGACACAGAAAAGGGAUCUGCUUGGAAAGCAGAAAGCCUUCUCCCUCUCCACAACCAGGCUCUCGAGCCUGAUUAUUAGCUUGCGGCAGACUUUCACAAGCUAGUUCAAAACAUGGAGCUGCGCGAGACUUCUCUGUCUCGGGGUGUGUGGGCCUCCCCUGAAGCCAUGAACCCACUGAAUCAGGGAGCAGGAGCACCUCGAUUGUUGAGUGAAAACCACUCUAAUAUCUCAAAAAUAAGAUCGCAUUUCUUUCUCAUGGCCCAAGACAAAUAUCUGAAAGAGAACUUAUCGUUUCUGCCUCCCAUCCCCAGACAUUCUUGUCUCCUCGCCACCAGGUCCUUGCAUCCCACCUUGGCAUAAAGGUCAUACCACAAAUGGA